This 253-nucleotide ribosomal RNA is filed under the name uncultured bacterium. Its description in RNAcentral is "partial 16S ribosomal RNA". It matches the Rfam family "Bacterial small subunit ribosomal RNA", at positions 524 to 776 of the family's 1533-position model. The record is from RNAcentral.
UACGUAGGGUGCAAGCGUUAAUCGGAAUUACUGGGCGUAAAGCGUGCGCAGGCGGUUUUGUAAGUCUGACGUGAAAUCCCCGGGCUCAACCUGGGAAUUGCGUUGGAGACUGCAAGGCUGGAGUCUGGCAGAGGGGGAUGGAAUUCCGCGUGUAGCAGUGAAAUGCGUAGAUAUGCGGAGGAACACCGAUGGCGAAGGCAAUCCCCUGGGCCUGCACUGACGCUCAUGCACGAAAGCGUGGGGAGCAAACAGG